RNAcentral lists this ribosomal RNA (338 nucleotides) under uncultured eukaryote. Its description in RNAcentral is "SSU rRNA". It matches the Rfam family "Eukaryotic small subunit ribosomal RNA", at positions 594 to 945 of the family's 1831-position model. The record is from RNAcentral.
AUAGCGUAUAUUAAAGUUGUUGCAGUUAAAAAGCUCGUAGUUGGACCUUAGGCAAGGCGGCCUGGUCACCCUCUGGGUGUACUGGGAUCGCUGCGCCUCACCUUCGGGGAGCUAGUCGUGCUUCGGUGCGCUAGGGAACCGAGCCUUACCUUGAGGAAAUUAGAGUGUUUAAAGCAGGCUUUUAUUGCUUGAAUACGUUAGCAUGGAAUAACAUGAUAGGACUUUGGUUCUAUUUUGUUGGUUUGAGGACCAAAGUAAUGAUUAAUAGGGACAGUUGGGGGCAUUAGUAUUCAAUAGUCAGAGGUGAAAUUCUUGGAUUUAUUGAAGACUAACUAGUG